This 233-nucleotide ribosomal RNA is filed under the name uncultured bacterium. RNAcentral describes it as "partial 16S ribosomal RNA". It matches the Rfam family "Bacterial small subunit ribosomal RNA", at positions 118 to 351 of the family's 1533-position model. The record is from RNAcentral.
UGAGCAAUCUGCCCUUCUCUUUGGAAUAAGCGUUGGAAACGACGUCUAAUGCCGAAUACGACCUCCUUUCGCAUGAUCGGAGGUGGAAAGUUCCGGCGGUGGAGGAUGAGCUCGCGGCCUAUCAGCUUGUUGGUGAGGUAACGGCCCACAAGGCAACGACGGGUAGCCGGCCUGAGAGGGUGACCGGCCACACUGGGACUGAGACACGGCCCAGACCUCCGUACGGGGAGCAG